GCGGUAUGCCUAAUACAUGCAAGUCGUGCGGAAAGGCCCUUCGGGGUACUCGAGCGGCGGACGGCAGAGUAACGCGUAGGAACAUACCCCAAAGUGAGGGAUAACUGCUCGAAAGAGUAGCUAAUACCGCAUGUGAUCUUCGGAUUAAAGCCUUGUGCGCUUUGGGAAUGGCCUGCGUUCGAUUAGCUAGUUGGUGAGGUAAUUGCUCACCAAGGCGACGAUCGAUAGCUGGUCUGAGAGGAUGAUCAGCCUGACUGGAACUGAGACACGGCCCAGACUCCUACGGGAGGCAGCAGUGGGGAAUAUUGGACAAUGGGCGCAAGCCUGAUCCAGCCAUGCCGCGUGAGUGAUGAAGGCCCUAGGGUUGUAAAGCUCUUUCACCGGUGAAGAUAAUGACGGUAACCGGAGAAGAAGCCCCGGCUAACUUCGUGCCAGCCGCCGCCGUAA
RNAcentral lists this ribosomal RNA (447 nucleotides) under uncultured bacterium. RNAcentral describes it as "partial 16S ribosomal RNA". It matches the Rfam family "Bacterial small subunit ribosomal RNA", at positions 39 to 523 of the family's 1533-position model. The record is from RNAcentral.